RNAcentral lists this ribosomal RNA (470 nucleotides) under uncultured Alphaproteobacteria bacterium. RNAcentral's name for it is "bacterial SSU rRNA". It matches the Rfam family "Bacterial small subunit ribosomal RNA", at positions 9 to 524 of the family's 1533-position model. The record is from RNAcentral. Lineage: Bacteria; Pseudomonadati; Pseudomonadota; Alphaproteobacteria.
GAGUUUGAUCUUGGCUCAGAACGAACGCUGGCGGCAGGCCUAACACAUGCAAGUCGAACGGGCGUAGCAAUACGUCAGUGGCAGACGGGUGAGUAACGCGUGGGAACGUACCCUUUGGUUCGGAAUAACCCGGGGAAACUCGGGCUAAUACCGGAUACGUCCGCAAGGAGAAAGAUUUAUCGCCGAAGGAUCGGCCCGCGUCGGAUUAGCUAGUUGGUGGGGUAAUGGCUCACCAAGGCGACGAUCCGUAGCUGGUCUGAGAGGAUGAUCAGCCACACUGGGACUGAGACACGGCCCAGACUCCUACGGGAGGCAGCAGUGGGGAAUAUUGGACAAUGGGCGAAAGCCUGAUCCAGCCAUGCCGCGUGAGUGAAGAAGGCCCUAGGGUUGUAAAGCCCUUUCAGCGGGAAGAUAAUGACGGUACCCGCAGAAGAAGCCCCGGCUAACUCCGUGCCAGCCGCCGCAGUAAU